This 260-nucleotide ribosomal RNA is filed under the name uncultured archaeon. RNAcentral's name for it is "partial 16S ribosomal RNA". It matches the Rfam family "Archaeal small subunit ribosomal RNA", at positions 748 to 1009 of the family's 1478-position model. The record is from RNAcentral.
AGGGUGUAAACGCUGCAGACUUGGUGUUGGGAACCCUUCGGGGGUGCUCAGUGCCGGAGAGAAGUUGUUAAGUCUGCUACUUGGGAGUACGUCCGCAAGGAUGAAACUUAAAGGAAUUGGCGGGGGAGCACCGCAACGGGAGGAGCGUGCGGUUUAAUUGGAUUCAACGCCGGGAAGCUCACCGGAUAAGACAGCGGAAUGAUUGCCGGGCUGAAGACUCUGCAUGACUAGCUGAGAGGAGGUGCAUGGCGUAGACGUCU